This 422-nucleotide ribosomal RNA is filed under the name Nassarius hepaticus. RNAcentral describes it as "partial 16S ribosomal RNA". It matches the Rfam family "Bacterial large subunit ribosomal RNA", at positions 1931 to 2555 of the family's 2925-position model. The record is from RNAcentral. Lineage: Eukaryota; Metazoa; Mollusca; Gastropoda; Neogastropoda; Nassariidae.
UGGCGGUACUCUGACCGUGCAAAGGUAGCAUAAUCAUUUGCCUUAUAAUUGAAGGCUAGUAUGAAUGGUUUGACAAGAAUGAAGCUGUCUCUUUAUAAUUUAAUAGAAUUUUAUCUUUAGGUGAAGAAGCCUAUGUAAAAUUAAAAGACAAGAAGACCCUAUCGAGCUUAAAAAAAAUUAAUAGAAUUAAGUUAAUUAAUAUUCAUAAAAAAUUGUCUAUUAAAUAUUUUAGUUGGGGCGACUGAGGAACAUGAAAAGCUUCCUUUAAAAUGAAAUUAACUAAAAUCAAACUAGAAUUGAUCCAAAAUUAUUUUGAUUAAAGAAAUUAGUUACCGUAGGGAUAACAGCAUUAUCUUUUUUAAGAGCUCAUAUCGAAAAAAAGGUUUGUGACCUCGAUGUUGGACCAGAAUAUCCUAAAGGUG